RNAcentral lists this unclassified non-coding RNA (355 nucleotides) under Hevea brasiliensis (rubber tree). Lineage: Eukaryota; Viridiplantae; Streptophyta; Magnoliopsida; Malpighiales; Euphorbiaceae. The record is from RNAcentral.
UUUUUUUUUUUUUUUUUUUUUUGGGGAGGUGGGUGGGGGGUUGGGAAGUUGGGGGGGACGCCUAAAUGAGAAAAAUGCUGAUCAAUAGCUUCAUCCAAUACAUGUUACCAGAUGCUAGAUUCAUAAAGGGUCUAAAAUCCUUAUUUUUGAAUUUCACAAAAAUUGUUUCUUGCUGCCAUUCCAUUCCCAAAUGGAGUAAGAAGGUUUAUCAUUAUACAUAUGGUUACCAGAUUUCCUCAUUAGGCAUCUGAUAUUGACUCACAUACAGAAUAGAUCAAUUAGAAAAUCCUCUUAUAAUCCUUCCAUCUAAUGAAAGCUCCAAAAUCCCAAAAUAUAGAGGGGGCAAAGAGGAGAA